GNGNGAAGCGUGACGCAGCACGCCGCGUGGGGGAAGAAGGCUUUCGGGUUGUAAACCCCUUUCAGUCGGGACGAAGCUUCGCCGGUAAACAGCCGGCUGGAGUGACGGUACCUUCACAAGAAGCACCGGCUAACUACGUGCCAGCAGCCGCGGUAAUACGUAGGGUGCAAGCGUUGUCCGGAAUUAUUGGGCGUAAAGAGCGUGUAGGCGGCCCGAUUAGUCCGCUGUGAAAGUCCAGGGCUCAACCCUGGAAUGCCGGUGGAUACUGUCGGGCUAGAGUCCGGAAGGGGCGAGUGGAAUUCCUGGUGUAGCGGUGAAAUGCGCAGAUAUCAGGAGGAACACCAAUGGCGAAGGCAGCUCGCUGGGACGUGACUGACGCUGAGACGCGAAAGCGUGGGGAGCAAACAGGAUUAGAUACCCUGGUAGUCCACGCUGUAAACGAUGGCAACUAGAUGUGGGGGGUGUCGACUCCCCCCGUGUCGAAGCUAACGCAUUAAGUUGCCCGCCUGGGGAGUACGGCCGCAAGGCUAAAACUCAAAAAAAUUGACGGA
Molecule: ribosomal RNA, 551 nt
Filed under: uncultured bacterium
Lineage: Bacteria
Description: bacterial SSU rRNA
Rfam family: Bacterial small subunit ribosomal RNA
Source: RNAcentral